AGCGAACGCUGGCGGCAGGCCUAACACAUGCAAGUCGAACGAACCUUUCGGGGUUAGUGGCGGACGGGUGAGUAACACGUGGGAACGUGCCUUUAGGUUCGGAAUAACUCAGGGAAACUUGUGCUAAUACCGAAUGUGCCCUUCGGGGGAAAGAUUAAUCGCCUUUAGAGCGGCCCGCGUCUGAUUAGCUAGUUGGUUGAGGUAAUGGCUCACCAAGGCGACGAUCAGUAGCUGGUCUGAGAGGAUGAUCAGCCACAUUGGGACUGAGACACGGCCCAAACUCCUACGGGAGGCAGCAGUGGGGAAUCUUGCGCAAUGGGCGAAAGCCUGACGCAGCCAUGCCGCGUGAAUGAUGAAGGUCUUAGGAUUGUAAAAUUCUUUCACCGGGGACGAUAAUGACGAUACCCGGAGAAGAAGCCCCGGCUAACUUCGUG
RNAcentral lists this ribosomal RNA (434 nucleotides) under uncultured bacterium. Its description in RNAcentral is "partial 16S ribosomal RNA". It matches the Rfam family "Bacterial small subunit ribosomal RNA", at positions 29 to 507 of the family's 1533-position model. The record is from RNAcentral.